CUUUGUACCUACAGAUAUAGUCCUAUUUUAAAUAAUAUUUCCGGAUGGCAACACCUCCCGCUUUCAUCAAAAAAAAAUGGUAGCAUAUAUAUUUCUUAGCUUUCGUAGUACAAGUUCACAAAUUCAAUUCAAGUUAUACUUCAUUAUUGUGGAAGAUCUCCUAGAUUUUUGGAAACUUGGAACCAUAUCUAUAUGGUGGUAGCAAGAACUAGGCACCACAC
This 221-nucleotide long non-coding RNA is filed under the name Elaeis guineensis (African oil palm). RNAcentral's name for it is "long non-coding RNA (EGUI_LNC021006)". Lineage: Eukaryota; Viridiplantae; Streptophyta; Magnoliopsida; Arecales; Arecaceae. The record is from RNAcentral.